RNAcentral lists this small RNA (83 nucleotides) under Flavobacterium frigoris. RNAcentral describes it as "Flavo-1 RNA". It matches the Rfam family "Flavo-1 RNA". The record is from RNAcentral. Lineage: Bacteria; Pseudomonadati; Bacteroidota; Flavobacteriia; Flavobacteriales; Flavobacteriaceae.
UUAUAGCCCAGAUAGAAGCGAUAUCCUUUUUAUUUUUUUUCUUUCAAAAAAUAAAAAGAUACAAGCGGAUAGCUGGAUUAGCU